Molecule: long non-coding RNA, 329 nt
Filed under: Androctonus crassicauda
Lineage: Eukaryota; Metazoa; Arthropoda; Arachnida; Scorpiones; Buthidae
Source: RNAcentral
GUUUUCCAAACGUUUACUCGUAAACGUCCGACUGUACCCGUUGACCGGAUGACCGAGAAAGCGGCCGAACUUACCGCCGUGUCUAUCGGGAGUAUUUAUACGGCCGGAAAAGAGAGAGCCAUCCCAGACCUGACAAAAAAAAAAAGCAAACGUCGGCCAUUACGGGUACAGCGCGCUUUCUUUUUCCACCACCGGCCUCCGACUCUGGAGAAGCUACGACCGUUAACCGUCACUCCCGACGACCAGACCCGAACAGAUCCUGGCUGUCCGCCAUCAUUUCGAAAUGGUUAAACGGAGCCGGAAAAGUGUUAGACGGACAGAGACAGCGU